AGAGUUUGAUCAUGGCUCAGAACGAACGCUGGCGGCGUGGAUAAGACAUGCAAGUCGAACGGAUUUGGUGCUGUAGCAAUACAGUGCCGGGUCAGUGGCGCAAGGGUGCGUAACACGUGGGCAACCUGCCCUGGAGUCUGGAAUAGCCCGCCGAAAGGCGGAUUAAUACCGGAUGUGGCUACCUGCCGAUUGGUGGGGACGCUAAAGGUGGCGCAAGCUGCCGCUCCUGGAUGGGCCCGCGGCCUAUCAGCUAGUUGGUGAGGUAACGGCCCACCAAGGCAAUGAUCGCUAGCGGGUCUGAGAGGAUGACCCGCCAGACUGGGACGGAGGAACGGCCCAGACACCUACGGGUGGCAGCAGUUGGGAAUUUUGCGCAAUGGCCGAAAGGCUGACGCAGCAACGCCGCGUGGAGGACGACGCCUUUCGGGGUGUAAACUCCUUUUCUCAGAGAAGAAGUAAUGACGGUAUCUGAGGAAUAAGCAUCGGCUAACUCUGUGCCAGCAGCCGCGGUAAGACAGAGGAUGCAAGCGUUAUCCGGAAUGAUUGGGCGUAAAGCGUCUGUAGGUGGCUUUUUAAGUCUGCCGUCAAAUCCCAGGGCUUAACCCUGGACAGGCGGUGGAAACUACCAAGCUGGAGUACGGUAGGGGCAGAGGGAAUUCCUGGUGUAGCGGUGAAAUGCGUAGAGAUCAGGAAGAACAUCGGUGGCGAAGGCGCUCUGCUGGACCAUAACUGACACUCAGGGACGAAAGCUAGGGGAGCGAAUGGGAUUAGAUACCCCCGUAGUCC
RNAcentral lists this ribosomal RNA (786 nucleotides) under uncultured Streptophyta. RNAcentral describes it as "bacterial SSU rRNA". It matches the Rfam family "Bacterial small subunit ribosomal RNA", at positions 8 to 796 of the family's 1533-position model. Lineage: Eukaryota; Viridiplantae; Streptophyta. The record is from RNAcentral.